UACGUAGGGGGCAAGCGUUGUCCGGAAUCAUUGGGCGUAAAGCGCGUGUAGGCGGCCAGGUAGGUCUGCUGUGAAAACUCGAGGCUUAACCUCGAGCUGUCGGCGGAAACCAUCUGGCUAGAGUCCGGAAGAGGAGAAUGGAAUUCCCGGUGUAGCGGUGAAAUGCGCAGAUAUCGGGAAGAACACCCGUGGCGAAGGCGGUUCUCUGGGACGGUACUGACGCUGAGACGCGAAAGCGUGGGGAGCGAACAGG
Molecule: ribosomal RNA, 253 nt
Filed under: uncultured bacterium
Lineage: Bacteria
Description: partial 16S ribosomal RNA
Rfam family: Bacterial small subunit ribosomal RNA
Source: RNAcentral